GCCAACGUAGCUUAAUACAAAGCAUAACACUGAAGAUGUUAAGAUGAGCCCUGAAAAGCUCCGUAAGCA
Molecule: transfer RNA, 69 nt
Filed under: Ephippus orbis (orbfish)
Lineage: Eukaryota; Metazoa; Chordata; Actinopteri; Ephippiformes; Ephippidae
Description: tRNA-Phe
Rfam family: tRNA
About the family: Transfer RNA (tRNA) molecules are approximately 80 nucleotides in length.
Source: RNAcentral